GAAGUUAAGCAACAUUGGGCAUGGUCAGUACUUGGAUGGGUGACCGCUUGGGAACACCAUGUACCGUUGGCA
Molecule: ribosomal RNA, 72 nt
Organism: Lasius niger
Lineage: Eukaryota; Metazoa; Arthropoda; Insecta; Hymenoptera; Formicidae
Source: Rfam